GGAGGAUUCGCCUAGUGGCCUAGGGCGCACGCUUGGAAAGCGUGUUGGGGGAAACCCCUCACGAGUUCGAAUCUCGUAUCCUCCGCC
RNAcentral lists this transfer RNA (87 nucleotides) under Paractinoplanes toevensis. RNAcentral describes it as "Actinoplanes toevensis tRNA-Ser". It matches the Rfam family "tRNA". Rfam says of the family: Transfer RNA (tRNA) molecules are approximately 80 nucleotides in length. Their secondary structure includes four short double-helical elements and three loops (D, anti-codon, and T loops). The record is from RNAcentral. Lineage: Bacteria; Bacillati; Actinomycetota; Actinomycetes; Micromonosporales; Micromonosporaceae.